This 440-nucleotide ribosomal RNA is filed under the name uncultured bacterium. RNAcentral describes it as "partial 16S ribosomal RNA". It matches the Rfam family "Bacterial small subunit ribosomal RNA", at positions 338 to 795 of the family's 1533-position model. The record is from RNAcentral.
CCUACUGGAUGCAGCAGUGGGGAAUAUUGCACAAUGGGGGAAACCCUGAUGCAGCGACGCCGCGUGAGUGAAGAAGUAUUUCGGUAUGUAAAGCUCUAUCAGCAGGGAAGAAAAUGAUGGUACCUGAUUAAGAAGCCCCUGCUAAAUACGUGCCAGCAGCCGCGGUAAUACGUAGUGGGCAAGCGUUAUCCGGAUUUACGGGGUGUAAAGUGAGCGUAGACGGCAGCACAAGUCUGGAGUGAAAUGCCGGGGAUUAACCCCGGAACUGCUUUGGAGACUGUGCAGCGAGAGUGCAGGAGAGGUAAGUGGAAUGCCAAGUGUAGCGGUGAAAUGCGUAGAUAUUAGGAGGAACACCAGGGGCGAAGGCGGCUUACUGGACUGUAACUGACGUUGAGGCUCGAAAGCGUGGGGAGCAAACAGGAUUAGAUACCCGUGUAGUC